This 78-nucleotide non-coding RNA is filed under the name unclassified sequences. The record is from RNAcentral.
AAGCCCGUGCAAUGGUGCGUUUACCCGAAAGGAAACGGCGUUUGUGUAAAACGCAGGACACCUAAAGCACGGGUUUUU